CUUUGGUCUCGGCGGCAGAAGCAAAAUGACGAAGGGAACGUCAUCGUUUGGAAAGCGUCGGAAUAAGACGCACAAGCUGUGCCGCCGCUGUGGCUCUAAGGCCUACCACCUUCAGAAGUCGACCUGUGGCAAGUGUGGCUACCCUGCCAAGCAAAAGAGAAAGUAUAAUUGGAGUGCUAAAGCUAAAAGACAAAAUACCACCGGGACUGGUCGAAUGAGGCACCUAAAAAUUGUAUACCACAGAUUCAGGCAUGGAUUCCGUGAAGGAACAACACCUAAACCCAAGCGAGCGGCUGUUGCAGCAUCCAGUUCAUCCUAAGGAUUUCAACAAUUAGUUGAGCAAUAAAUGUUCUGGCUUUAAAAAAAAAAAAAGAAAAGAAAAGAAAA
This is a non-coding RNA of Odocoileus virginianus texanus, 387 nucleotides long. The record is from RefSeq and is a predicted model, not a curated record. NCBI's taxonomy places the organism in Eukaryota, Metazoa, Chordata, Mammalia, Artiodactyla, Cervidae.